CCCAUUUCCCCCUCCCUGUUAGGAAGGAAAGCCACAAACAUGUUCUUUGGCUUAUUGUUAAUAUAUCUGAACCGGGAAUUAAUAUGGCUGGUAAGUUAAGACCAUAUGAUGCCUUUUGGAAUCAAGGAAGGCAACAAUCACAAGUAUACUGAUAAUGCCAAGUCAAGGAUUAUGGUUUUUCAUUCUCAGUUGUAAGCAAAGAGGAGCGAAGAGAAGCAAUAUGUACAUUCACGACAAAUCACAGGUUAUGAUGCAUGAACUUGUGCAUAAAUAAGCAUAUGUGUCUUUUAUGCACAGGAGCGCAUGAAUGCGUAUGUCUGCCUCCUUGAGUAGAUCAAUACUGCAUUUUAUGCACUGAGAUGACUGGAUAUAUGGGUUGAUGUGUUUACUGGAGAAAGCGUGGAUGACUUUCCUAAUAAGAAAUACAGUACAUGGGCUGAGAAAGGUUCCCCACCCCUUUUUUAUUGCUUUGCAUGACAUCAGAUAUACAUAAAACAAACAGAUAAUAACCCACAAGCUAAUAAGCAUGAUUUACAUACUUGAUAUUACUAUGACUAGUUAGUCCCAAUUAACAAGUAUCUGCUCUUGACUCUGCCUCCCCCCCCCCGCCAGCCACGUCAACGACGACGCCAACGUCCACUAACGCCCCCCUACUAGCGUGACGUCGCAAAAGCCUCCCUCUUCCGCCUCUCUCGAGCCCCCCUGUUGCCCCACCUCCUUUCGCCCCCUCCCUUUCAGACACGCUCACCCGCCACUUGGCCGGUCCCGGCCGUGUGUCCCCGGUCUUUACCGUCUCCUGUCGUCACUUCCGGGAUCAAAGAACCACUUCCGCCUCUACCGGACCAAGAUGGCAUGUAUUUGGCUGGGAAAGAGAAACAAGCUUUGAGCUAUUUUGAGAGAUUAGAGAAUGAAGGCUUCAAAUAACAAAACAAAAUUUGGAACAGACAAGUGUGCAACAUUCUUCACCAACACAUAGACGCCAGAUGGGGGGGUAUCUAGUUUGACGAUCAGGAAAGCAAAAAGUUUUGGCAUCGCUGUCCGUCGCGGUGAUCAUGAGUUAGCAACAGCAUUGGCUUGGGAAGCUCUUCUGUGAGGAUGGNGGAUAAGGAAAGAACAAGGACUCUGCUGCUGGGAAGCAUAGCCGCCUCUGGACUUACCAUCAUCCAGCCACCCCUGGANAAUGACGGCCUGGUGUUGGAGCUGCAGCUGUGGAACUGCUGACUCGACCAGCUGUGCCUGGGACUAUGGGGGAGGGGCGGUCAGGAAGCUACUGUUUAGGCAGUAGAGGACCAAGGUGGCAUAAAAGCUGCUUUUAUAUUGUUUAAUUGUUGUAUUGAUUUUACUGAUGAUUUGUGUUCUCUAUGAAUGUCG
This 1371-nucleotide long non-coding RNA is filed under the name Salvator merianae (Argentine black and white tegu). RNAcentral describes it as "lncRNA (ENSSMRG00000018087.1)". Lineage: Eukaryota; Metazoa; Chordata; Lepidosauria; Squamata; Teiidae. The record is from RNAcentral.